This 497-nucleotide ribosomal RNA is filed under the name uncultured bacterium. Its description in RNAcentral is "partial 16S ribosomal RNA". It matches the Rfam family "Bacterial small subunit ribosomal RNA", at positions 28 to 507 of the family's 1533-position model. The record is from RNAcentral.
GAUGAACGCUGGCGGCGUGCCUAAUACAUGCAAGUCGAGCGAACAGACGAGGAGCUUGCUCCUCUGACGUUAGCGGCGGACGGGUGAGUAACACGUGGAUAACCUACCUAUAAGACUGGGAUAACUUCGGGAAACCGGAGCUAAUACCGGAUAAUAUAUUGAACCGCAUGGUUCAAUAGUGAAAGACGGUUUUGCUGUCACUUAUAGAUGGAUCCGCGCCGCAUUAGCUAGUUGGUAAGGUAACGGCUUACCAAGGCAACGAUGCGUAGCCGACCUGAGAGGGUGAUUGGCCACACUGGAACUGAGACACGGUCCAGACUCCUACGGGAGGCAGCAGUAGGGAAUCUUCCGCAAUGGGCGAAAGCCUGACGGAGCAACGCCGCGUGAGUGAUGAAGGUCUUCGGAUCGUAAAACUCUGUUAUUAGAGAAGAACAAAUGUGUAAGUAACUAUGCACGUCUUGACGGUACCUAAUCAGAAAGCCACGGCUGACUACGUG